RNAcentral lists this ribosomal RNA (450 nucleotides) under uncultured Glomeromycotina. RNAcentral describes it as "SSU rRNA". It matches the Rfam family "Eukaryotic small subunit ribosomal RNA", at positions 569 to 1027 of the family's 1831-position model. Lineage: Eukaryota; Fungi; Glomeromycota. The record is from RNAcentral.
AGCAGCCGCGGUAAUUCCAGCUCCAAUAGCGUAUAUUAAAGUUGUUGCAGUUAAAAGCUCGUAGUUGAAUUUCGGGGUUAGUAGAUUGGUCGUGCCACGGGUAUGUACUGGUCUUACUGAUUCCUCCUUCCUGAUGAACCGUAAUGCCAUUAAUUUGGUGUUGCGGGGAGACUGGACUGUUACUUUGAAAAAUUAGAGUGUUUAAAGCAAGCCUACGCUUGAAUACAUUAGCAUGGAAUAAUGAAAUAGGACGUUCGAUCCUAUUUUGUUGGUUUCUAGGAUUGACGUAAUGAUUAAUAGGGAUAGUUGGGGGCAUUAGUAUUCAAUUGUCAGAGGUGAAAUUCUUGGAUUUAUUGAAGACUAACUACUGCGAAAGCAUUUGCCAAGGAUGUUUUCAUUAAUCAAGAACGAAAGUUAGGGAUCGAAGACGAUCAGAUACCGUCGUAGCCU